Long non-coding RNA from Siniperca chuatsi (mandarin fish), 596 nucleotides. RefSeq lists it as uncharacterized. NCBI's taxonomy places the organism in Eukaryota, Metazoa, Chordata, Actinopteri, Centrarchiformes, Sinipercidae. The record is from RefSeq and is a predicted model, not a curated record. The transcript has 2 exons.
UUCUUUGUCUGCAAAAUGAAGGAUUUUUGAAUGUACUACCCACACCAUCGGCCCCACAGUGGACCAUUCCAGGGUCAUGGGCGUGAGACACGUUCCCAGGGGUUGUAGUUGUUCACUCCCGUUAAUAUGAUCUGGCUGUUCCAGUUUAGUUGUCGUUCGUUAUAUCAAUGGUGGACGUGUUUCUAAUCGUUUUUUGGAAGCCAUUUUGCAAUAAUAAUAAGAUGAAGAAGAAAAAAGAAAAACAAACUUCCCCCAAAUCAGGGAACUGGCUCGCCAGACGGGGGCGCUGUUGUUCUUCAUUAAUUUAAUGCUAAUAUUUUCAUUUAAAAAGUUUAACUGCUGGACACAAGAUGUCUCCUACUCCACUGAAAAGUCCAUUAUCAAUCAAAAUGACAGAAAUGGAAACCUGGAGUCAUCAUGCUGGCAAGCAACAAAAUGGAGAUUCCACUGCAGAAACAUGGGAGGCACAAGAUGACGAAACCUAUAAAGAUAAAGAGCGGCCCAGACCGCCAAAUGCUGAACAACUGAAUGUCUCAACUUUGUUUUCAUUAUUCCUCUCUUUGCAAUGCUGAGCUGCAUAUUAUUUCAGUGGGGAA